CGGACGGGUGAGUAACGCGUGGAAAACCUGCCGUAUACUGGGGGAUAACACUUAGAAAUAGGUGCUAAUACCGCAUAAGCGCACAGCUUCGCAUGAAGCGGUGUGAAAAACUCUGGUGGUAUACGAUGGUUCCGCGUCUGAUUAGCAAGUUGGUGGGGUAAUGGCCUACCAAGGCAACGAUCAGUAGCCGGCCUGAGAGGUUGACCGGCCACAUUGGGACUGAGAUACGGCCCAGACUCCUACGGAAGGCAGCAG
Molecule: ribosomal RNA, 255 nt
Filed under: uncultured bacterium
Lineage: Bacteria
Description: partial 16S ribosomal RNA
Rfam family: Bacterial small subunit ribosomal RNA
Source: RNAcentral